UUUCUUUUCUUUCGUUUCCCCUGCCCAUGGUUAUAUAGAGCAGUUUAAUGCUUUAGGAUGAAGUCUUGCAGGCAACUAUGGAAGAUAUUGAAGGCAUCUGUUGGAAGAAGGUUUGAGAUUUGGUCUUCUCCUUGAUGAGGAAAUUCACUAUUCACCAACCCCUCAAACAGACCUUUCCCAUGUACCCAAGGUUUUGAAGGGGGAAGGGAUAAUUAGGGUUCUCAGCCUCUUGCAGCUUUUGGAAAGAUGAAGUAUAUUAAGCUUGGAUCGAGGCCAGAUGACUUUCAUUCUGAUGGGAACAAUAUCAGGUUUGUUACAGCUGAACUGGAAGCUGACAUUGUCAUAAGUGUAGCAGAUGUGAAGUUUUAUCUACAUAAGGUAAC
Molecule: long non-coding RNA, 383 nt
Organism: Zingiber officinale
Lineage: Eukaryota; Viridiplantae; Streptophyta; Magnoliopsida; Zingiberales; Zingiberaceae
Exons: 3
Source: RefSeq, a predicted model, not a curated record